RNAcentral lists this ribosomal RNA (236 nucleotides) under uncultured bacterium. RNAcentral describes it as "partial 16S ribosomal RNA". It matches the Rfam family "Bacterial small subunit ribosomal RNA", at positions 97 to 334 of the family's 1533-position model. The record is from RNAcentral.
GGCGGACGGGUGAGUAAUGCGUAGGAAUUUACCUCAAAGUGGGGGAUAGCCCGGAGAAAUCCGGAUUAAUACCGCAUGUGCACUACGGUGGAAAGCGGGCCUCUUCUUGAAAGCUCGCGCUUUGAGAUAAGCCUACGUCGGAUUAGCUUGUUGGUAGGGUAAAAGCCUACCAAGGCGACGAUCCGUAGCUGGUUUGAGAGGAUGAUCAGCCACACUGGGACUGAGACACGGCCCAG